Molecule: ribosomal RNA, 405 nt
Filed under: uncultured prokaryote
Description: bacterial SSU rRNA
Rfam family: Bacterial small subunit ribosomal RNA
Source: RNAcentral
UGGGGAAUAUUGGGCAAUGGAGGCAACUCUGACCCAGCAACGCCGCGUGAGGGAAGAAGGUUUUCGGAUUGUAAACCUCUGUCCUAGGGGACGAAGAAAGUGACGGUACCCUAGGAGGAAGCCCCGGCUAACUACGUGCCAGCAGCCGCGGUAAUACGUAGGGGGCGAGCGUUGUCCGGAAUUACUGGGCGUAAAGGGUGCGUAGGCGGUUUGGUAAGUUAGAUGUGAAAUCCCCGGGCUUAACUCGGGAGUUGCAUUUAAAACUGCUGAACUAGAGUGCAGGAGAGGAAAGCGGAAUUCCUAGUGUAGCGGUGAAAUGCGUAGAUAUUAGGAGGAACACCAGUGGCGAAUGCGGCUUUCUGGACUGUAACUGACGCUGAGGCACGAAAGCUAGGGGAGCAAACG